This 802-nucleotide ribosomal RNA is filed under the name uncultured bacterium. Its description in RNAcentral is "bacterial SSU rRNA". It matches the Rfam family "Bacterial small subunit ribosomal RNA", at positions 8 to 810 of the family's 1533-position model. The record is from RNAcentral.
AGAGUUUGAUCCUGGCUCAGGAUGGACGCUGGCGGCGUGCUUAACACAUGCAAGUCGAACGAAGCACCUUGAUUUGAUUCUUCGGAUGAAGAUCUUGGUGACUGAGUGGCGGACGGGUGAGUAACGCGUGGGUAACCUGCCUCAUACAGGGGGAUAACAGUUAGAAAUGACUGCUAAUACCGCAUAAGACCACAGCACCGCAUGGUGCAGGGGUAAAAACUCCGGUGGUAUGAGAUGGACCCGCGUCUGAUUAGGUAGUUGGUGGGGUAACGGCCUACCAAGCCGACGAUCAGUAGCCGACCUGAGAGGGUGACCGGCCACAUUGGGACUGAGACACGGCCCAAACUCCUACGGGAGGCAGCAGUGGGGAAUAUUGCACAAUGGGGGAAACCCUGAUGCAGCGACGCCGCGUGAGCGAUGAAGUAUUUCGGUAUGUAAAGCUCUAUCAGCAGGGAAGAAAAUGACGGUACCUGACUAAGAAGCACCGGCUAAAUACGUGCCAGCAGCCGCGGUAAUACGUAUGGUGCAAGCGUUAUCCGGAUUUACUGGGUGUAAAGGGAGCGUAGACGGAGUGGCAAGUCUGAUGUGAAAACCCGGGGCUCAACCCCGGGACUGCAUUGGAAACUGUCAAUCUAGAGUACCGGAGAGGUAAGCGGAAUUCCUAGUGUAGCGGUGAAAUGCGUAGAUAUUAGGAGGAACACCAGCGGCGAAGGCGGCUUACUGGACGGUAACUGACGUUGAGGCUCGAAAGCGUGGGGAGCAAACAGGAUUAGAUACCCUGGUAGUCCACGCCGUAAACGAU